Paramuricea clavata is the source of this 3697-nucleotide non-coding RNA. NCBI's taxonomy places the organism in Eukaryota, Metazoa, Cnidaria, Anthozoa, Malacalcyonacea, Plexauridae. The record is from the annotation of a GenBank genome assembly.
CGGUAAAUAGGAAAUGGCAGAAGAAGGAAAAAGAGAAUUGUUCUCCAUGUUCUCCUCUUUCCAAUCUUAUCUUGAUGAAGACCAAGAUAUUCGUGAGGUGAUAAAAAUUUACAAUAUUUUUCAUAUUGAAUAUUUUUCACCCUAGUUUAUAAUAAUUUAUUGUUGCUCCACUGUUGGUUGCCACUUUGUCUCUGGGGAGCAUCUACAAAAAGGGACCAUAAUAUCACUAUACUGAGUGUGAAGAGAUGACAGAUGCUUGUUGGUGACAAAAAGUUUGGUGUGGUGUCGUAUGUAAUAGUAGGGGGUUCUGGGGGUAUUCUCGCCCAGGGAAUUUAUGUAUUUUUCUACCCCUACGAAAGCUAUUCCACCCCCCUCCCCAGCCCUUAUAAAAUAUUGGGGAAAUAAAUUAUUUUUUGUUUUCCCAUGGAUUAAAAUGCGGAAAAUUCUGAAAUACAAUCACCUUCAGGUUUGUCACAAUCUUGUAGUGUUGUAUGUUGCCAGUGUCCCAGCUCAAACAGGGCCCCCAAAGCAACAAGGUCCACCUAUGGGUUAUGACCGACAGACGACAUUCCUUAAAAGAGGCAACAGACUGUCUAAAAAAGAGCGACAAACGACAGCUUCCAACUGGGAAAAAGUGACGAAUUGCUAUUUGCGUGAUGGGUCAAAAGUGAAAGCGACAUUUAUUACAAUAAAACAAGCGACAAAGCUACACCCUUAGUGGGCCUCAGCAACAAUACAAGAUUUCUUGCUACAAGAUUGCUUACCUAAUAGAAUAUAAAUCCUAGCCGUGUCAGUGCCGGAGAAUAUGCAAUUAUAAUUAAUGUGCAAUAUAUUGUAAAACAAGUAUUCAAAUGCAAGUAAAACUUGUAUUUUUCAGGUAGUUGAAUCCUAUAUCCAUCUCAAUUUUAACCCUUUAAGUGGAAAUGCACCCUGAUGCGCCCUACUUUAGUAUUUUACUCUGUCCAACGCCAGAUGCUUUUACUCCUCAAGUGGAGAGUGCUGCCACUCAAUGGGUUAACACCAGAAAAUUGAGAUGGAUAGGUAGUUGAAUCCCUAUAUCCAUCUCAAUAUUGGUAAUACUAUACCUAUGCUGGCACAGAUCUUUGAUAUUGUAAAACACCACUUUUCCUGUUUUACAAUGAUAACAGGGUUCGUACGGGUCCUGGAAAACCUGGAAAGUCAUGGAAUUUCAAUAUUCCAAAAUCCAGGCCUGGAAAUCCUGGAAAAUCAUUUUUAGUCAUGGAAGUCAUGGAAGUCAUGGAAAAUUGAAAUUUUACAUAACAGUAACAAAGUAUUUUACUUAUUUCAAUUUACCAAUCAUAACAAUAAUAUGAAUUGUUGUUAUAUAACGGAUUUUUUCAAAAGCGAAGUGAAUUUUGUUCUUUUAUUAUAUCUGUUAUUGUUAAAAUAUUAACGAAUUUCAGAAAUUCCAGACUUCCAGGUCAUGGAUUUUGAAAAAAAUGGUCAUGGAAAAGUCAUGGAAUUUUAAAUGGGAAAAGGUGUACAAACCCUGUUAUAAAGUCAUAGGGCCCCUGGGAAAGUUUUGCUGCAGGCCCCCUGCAACCUCUUGGAGGCCCUGAGUAUGUUAGAUUUGUUGGGAGCCUUGAUCAAAUCUGAUAAAGACAGAGAUAAACUGGGUGCUGGGUGCAUAAACCAGUUAUAUAUUAAAUGAUCAGAUGAUGAUGAUACAGACUAUUGAGGAAAAAAUGUCAUUCAAACUCAUGUAACCUACUCAUAGAAAUAAUAUCUAUUACUUCUAUGAACCUACUCCACCCUGGUAAAUAAGCAGAAUCCUGUAAGAAACCAAGUGAGAAGUUCUCAUUUUAGAAUUAUCAUAAUCACCAUGACAACAAGUUCUUAGAUGCAUUUUCCAUCAGGACAAAUGUGGGCAAGCAGGUUAUGCAUCUUCAGUAUAAAACAUAAGACACAAUUGUCUAGUAAACAAACUAUGAUUAGGAGUUUGUCUUGGUCUUAAGCAGCGCACAACAGCUAGAUGCUACUUUAAUUGUCUCUGCAGACAUACUGUACGUGUCUUGUGCCCCUAUAGACACAACAGAGCUUGUGCCUGCAUCAUUUAUGGUAUAUAUCCUGUUUUGGGAAAGAGCUACUGUAUUUCGAGUGUGACUAAUAUUUUGCUGUCACCACUACAUGCAUGAUAGUAUAAUCCGUCUGGACAAACUAUAGCAAAGAGGAGAUAGUUUCACUGAUAAUUCGUCUUUGUAUAAGUUCUGCAACAGACGAAUAUUCCGUCACUAAUACGAACUGACUGCGAACUUGCAUUUGUUCUGACAGAUGUCAUCCAAUCAUCUUGAUGUGAGAAAAUACUCCAAUCAUUACGAAUCGUGUAUGUCACAGGAAAUAUUAGAAAUAAUUUAUUUCCAUGCAGAACCAUUGCCAGUAUAAAUUGUGCUAUUCUAGCUUGAUCAUCUGGGUGCCGGUUAAUGAACUGCGAAACAACCAAGAGACAGAUUUACAUGAAGCAAAUUUAGUUUACUUAAUAUUUUAAAUGAUCUGGCGAAUGAGACCAGUCUUUUUGAAUGUAAUUAUGCUUCAGUCAUGUGGAUUUCAGGGAAGGUAACAGAUGGUCGUCACUUUGAGUAAAGUUUACACACGUAAAAACGCACAAGUUGUUACAGCUAGGUCUGCAAACAAGUUGUUACAAAUCUGUUCACAAGCUGUCAACAAGUUGUGUUCGCACUGCUUGUUCCCAGUUGUUGUAACAAGUUUGGACAAACAGUGCGAAGACAACUUGUUGACAGAGUAGUGAGACUUUUGCGUGUGUACUAAUAUAGGCAUACAGUACAGUAGGACGUGCAACUGCGUGCAGGCUGCUACUGGCACUAUUAUAUAUAAUGAAAGGCAUUUAAACACUUUAUAUGUCUGAUAGCUGUGAGUGACCACUAUAUCUGAUGCAUGGUAAAUUAUUGUUAUUUUAAUUAUAGAAAAUACAUGGUGCUGUUCGCAAUUUAGAAAAAACAACAAGAGGGAUUCUGGCAGUUUUACAAGCUGUUCAUCAUAGUUCACAGCAAAAAAGUAAGAAUUUUUCUUACUUUUCAUCAUCCUUAUAGAUUUGACUGGUAGUUUAGUUUGGAGCCGUUUCAUUGCCAGAAUUAAUAAUUCCAAUCAGGAAGAUCUUGUUUUAAUUACGCAACACAAAACAAUAGUUUAGUGAUUGCUAUCCACACCUAUAUACAAAGAACUUAAAACAUUGUUGUGUCAUCCAAACUAAGUAUGGUCUAACCAGUUUACGAGGAGUUAAUUUGCCUUAUAUGAACACAUUUAAAUUUAAUAAAUCAUGGAAUAACUUUAUCCAUGUCGGUAUUUUUUCUCAUGGACCAUCCUUUUCAGGCCAUUUUUAUCUGGAUGGUCCACCUUCUAAUUCCUCUAGCACUCCUCCCAGCUAGGAAAUGAACAGUCUCUAAUGUCUCUCAGCGGCUCUUCAUACCCUAUUAAUUAUCAUACCAUCUCACACCGUUGCUCCCCUUACCUACUUAGGGAAUGGAAGAAAUAAGGUAUUGCGAGUAUGUGUAACAAAUAGAAUUUAAAUAAUAGAACAAUGUAGUGUUAAGUAUCGUUUAAAUUUUUUAUCCCAUAGAUAUAUCUGCAAUUUGCCAACAAGCAGAAGAAAUGUUUGGAGCUCUAAAAUUACAAUUUUCCGAGCUUAUUUUGUUGAUUCCAGCUGGACAAUAUUAUAGGU